This 2102-nucleotide long non-coding RNA is filed under the name Malus domestica (apple). RNAcentral's name for it is "long non-coding RNA (MDOM_LNC001054)". The record is from RNAcentral. Lineage: Eukaryota; Viridiplantae; Streptophyta; Magnoliopsida; Rosales; Rosaceae.
GGGAUUCAGUCUGAAGGGAAAGGGAGGGAAAAGAAAUAGGAAGAAAGCGGAUAGUGUGUAUAUUGAAUACUGUAUCUUGUAACGAGUAUGUAACUGCAGACAGUUGACUAUUUGUACAAUUUUGUUUUGUGAAUGCCUUCCUGGUUGCUUUUCUCUCAAGCAUUUUUUGUUUCUGAGCCUCGAAUAUGAGCAACUAAGCAAACCACAUCAAGCUGAGGGGUUUUGGCCACUCACACUCUUCACCUUGUCCAAGCCAAACGACGCACCAGAAUGAUGGCAGACCAUCAACGCCGCUAGUUCAAUGCCUCUCGCGCGCAUGGUCCGUAUUUCCGCCAUGCCAGCGGCAAGCAUGGAUCUCUCUCUCUACACCACAACAGCUUCUUCAAGCAGCUCGUUUGUACAAAACCUUAUUCAGUUGUAUGCCCGUACCCGUAGCGGAGGCCAUAUAUUAUACCAUAUUUCUAUUUUUUACAGAACAUACAAGUAACGGUAGCAUUUCCCAAUUCUACCUUCAUAUUUCGGUAAUCGUUUUAGUCCCAGCCAUGUUUUUAACUCAUAUUUGAGUAAUUGUUGAAGUCCCAGCUAUGUUUUUAAUCUUCAUCUGAAUUGUAAGGGGCACCCAAAGAUGUGCGCCCCUCCAAAAAUAGGGGUAUGCCACUUAGAACGACGAGCACACGGUAUUCUUUAGUAAAAGGCGAAAGAAUAGUUCGCUUUGUGCUCAACGCAUGGCUCCGUGAUUUUUAAGUUCUGCACGCCGCUUUAUUUUAUAUUGCCUAUUCCAGCUCCUUCUUCACGCUAUCGUCGAUGUGGGACUUACCAACCGCUUAGGUAAUUGCAGUUCAACAAAAACUGUCUGCAAAAGAAAACUUGGCUCAACAAAAAGUUUAGCUCCAAUUCUUUUUGUCGUCUGCCUGGUUACAUUUUUCCUUCACAAAUUAUUUCCCCUUGAUUUGAUAAACUAACUGAAGCUCCAUGAUUAAAUUAAACUUCCAAGUCCCAAACCAAGUUUCAUGAAGAACCAGUUUCUAGCAAACUCUCAUUUUGUUUUACUUCUGUUGGAGAUAAUUAUAUGAAUGAUAAGCAGCAGCCGAUUGCGAAACGCGACCUCGGGUGGUUAAGAUGGGAACACUAUCGGUGUUGGACCAGUUAGCCAGCCGGCAUGCGUCGCCUGUUGGAAAUUUCAAAACUCAUUCUGUUAUUAGUUUUUUUUUUUUUUCUUGGGUUUGGUUUUGCAUCGCUAUCGUGUUCAAUGAAAACGUUGAAAAGUCUGUUUAUAUAUGCUGUCUAUGAUCGUGUAGAGAUUUCACAUAAAAAAAACAUGGUUACAAAACGUGUCUGUCUGGUCAACUGUAAUAUGUAAACUUGGUAAUCUUUGUUCUUGUUACUUGUUUCUCCUCCGCCUUGUGGUUGCAGGACGACCUCUCUGCAGUUCCCUUUACUCGGUCCCUUGACUCCCUCCUCGAUCAUCGACCGUGAGCUUUCAUUACAUUCAUUGGCCUUUUAAUUCAUUUUUACUUUUAUAUGCAUCAUCAUGUAAAUUUAUAUGAUCGUUUUAAUUUUACAACUGCUCAUCUUCGAUUUAAAUAACCCUAGUUGAUUAACAAGGAUAAGGUUGUGUAGGAUAGACGCUCCUCCCCGUUGUUGGCUUGGGGUUGCUCUUUUUUAGUUGAUAAACAAAUUUGAAUUAGAUGAAAAGGCUGCCAUAUCAUCUGAGCUUGGAAUACAGAACACGUUUUGUGGAGUGCGGCGGUACUCAAAUCAAUUGAUUACAUAUUUACUUAUGAAGUUCUGAAAAUUUUAUGGUCUGUUUGAUAACCAUUUUAUUUUUUUCGUUUUUAGUUUUCAUUUUUGUGUUGGAGAGAUGAGGAAAGUGAGGGAAAAGAAAUAGGAAGAAAGCGGAUAGUGUGUAUAUUGAAUACUGUAUCUUGUAACGAGUAUGUAACUGCAGACAGUUGACUAUUUGUACAAUUUUGUUUUGUGAAUGCCUUCCUGGUUACUUUUCUCUCAAGCAUUUUUUGUUUCUGAGCCUCGAAUAUGAGCAACUAAGCAAACCACAUCAAGCUGAGGGGUUUUGGCCACUCACACUCUUCACCUUGUCCAAG